AGACCCAGAAAGCUUUAGACCCAGGAACACGCCAGGCAGUUCUGGCCCCACCGCCUUGGGCCUGGUGCCUCGGCUCCAGGCUGUGUCCUGGGACAGUGAGAACUUUGGGCUGUGGGCUCAGAGGGUCCACUGAUCAGGGCCUGAGAGGCUCGUCCAGCCAGCGGAGGCCAAGGCCCCGAAACUCCAGUGGCUGACAACAGCGGAGGCUCGGCACUUGCUCCCAUCCCACGGCCGCUGCGGGUCCGCUGCACCUCUCCACACCAUCUUCGCCUCAGGACCCACUCCAGCGUCCUCACCAAGGGGAGGACAGAGGCAGAGGACCACAGCUGGCCCUUAGGUGUGACACUGUCGUUUCUGCCUGUGCCUUAGUGGCCUGAGCAAAUCACAGGGCCACUCCUGAGUUCAAAAGGUGGAGAAGUGGUGCCUUAGAACAUGUAAACGGUACUGGAAUCACCCGUCUCUCAAGGUUCGAUAGAACUUGUCUGCAAGCCUAGCUGGGUCCAGCCGUGUUUAGCUCUGAUGGAUGAACUUAGUCUACACGCUGAUGGGAGUACCACACUACAAGUCAGCAAAAUGUGAAAUCUGCCGAACACGCCACGCUGAGUUGCAGCUUACAUCUCUGAUCUCAUGGGAACAGCCUGAGCCUGUGUAGCACGCUCUUCUACUGACAGUUCCCGCUGGAAGAACUGUCAUGUGACAAAUGGCCAAGAGUGACCAAGAAGGUUCCUCGACCACUUACUGAAAACUCUCCAAGGAUUUAUUUCAUAAAAGCAUCCUAUCAAG
Molecule: long non-coding RNA, 783 nt
Organism: Phyllostomus hastatus (greater spear-nosed bat)
Lineage: Eukaryota; Metazoa; Chordata; Mammalia; Chiroptera; Phyllostomidae
Exons: 3
Source: RefSeq, a predicted model, not a curated record